GUUUCAUUUUAAAUCACCUUGAAUAGAAAAGCCUGAUCUCGUCUGUUCUCUGAAGCUAAGCCGGGUCAGGCCUAGUCAGGACUUGGAUGGGAGACCAGUGAGUUACGCAUAAACU
RNAcentral lists this ribosomal RNA (115 nucleotides) under Periophthalmus magnuspinnatus. Lineage: Eukaryota; Metazoa; Chordata; Actinopteri; Gobiiformes; Gobiidae. The record is from RNAcentral.